GACGAACGCUGGCGGCGUGCUUAACACAUGCAAGUCGAACGGAAAGGCCCUGCUUUUGUUGGGUUCUCGAGUGGCGAACGGGUGAGUAACACGUGAGUAACCUGCCCUUGACUUUGGGAUAACUUCAGGAAACUGGGGCUAAUACCGGAUAGGAGCUCCUGCUGCAUGUUGGGGGUUGGAAAGUUUCGGCGGUUGUGGAUGGACUCGCAGCUUAUCAGCUUGUUUGUGGGGUAGUGGCUUACCAGGGCUUUGACGGGUAGCCGGCCUGAGAGGGUGACCGGCCACAUUGGGACUGAGAGACGGACCAGAAUCGUAUGGGAGGCAGCAGUGGAGAAUAUUGCACAAUGGGCGGAAGUCUGAUGCAGAAACGCCGCGUGCGGGAAGCCGGCCUUCGGGUUGUAAACCGCUUUCGCAUGUGACGAAGCGGGAGUGACGGUAACGGGUAAAAAAGCCCCGGCUAACUACGUG
Molecule: ribosomal RNA, 468 nt
Filed under: uncultured bacterium
Lineage: Bacteria
Description: partial 16S ribosomal RNA
Rfam family: Bacterial small subunit ribosomal RNA
Source: RNAcentral